AUACGGAGGGUGCAAGCGUUAUCCGGAAUUAUUGGGUUUAAAGGGUCCGUAGGCGGCUAGAUAAGUCAGUGGUGAAAUUCUCUCGCUCAACGAGAGACCUGCCAUUGAUACUGUCUUGGCUAGAGUUACAGUGAGGUGAGUGGAAUGUGUAGUGUAGCGGUGAAAUGCAUAGAUAUUACACAGAACACCGAUUGCGAAGGCAGCUCACUAACUGUAUACUGACGCUGAUGGACGAAAGCGUGGGGAGCAAACAAGAUUAGAAACCCUUGUAGUCC
RNAcentral lists this ribosomal RNA (275 nucleotides) under uncultured bacterium. Its description in RNAcentral is "partial 16S ribosomal RNA". It matches the Rfam family "Bacterial small subunit ribosomal RNA", at positions 523 to 796 of the family's 1533-position model. The record is from RNAcentral.